AUCCAAUGAGCUGGGUACGAGUGCAGCACCAUUUUCAUAAAUCAAGCAACUGGAAUAGAUUUUAAUACAGAAUUGUAUUACUGCAGGAAUGCCAGGCAUGCAGGCUCGGAGCACUAACACUUCUAUUAGUUGAAUGCAAGCCAAUCCUUUAGCUGUAAGCACAUUAAAAGGAAAAUGAUUCCCCUGCUACAUUUCGGGGGUCUCCGAUGCCAAAAAUCCUCCCUGGAGUAACUCACAACUUUUUUCCCUGAGUUGUCCUUGUCUCAGGGGUGUUACAACUGGUCAGUCACACUCUGAGGGAUAUGUUUUACAGCAGAUAUUAAAUCCCACUGAGCUGUUCUCCUCUCUCUGACAUCCUUGGAGUAAAAAUAAAGUCAUGGAGCAGUAGAACAUCAAGGUUCAGUGCUGGAAGACACUAUCAGCUCCCACAAAGGCUUUCUAUUCCUUCCAGGACCUAUAUUUAUAUUUGCUGAUGACUCCUUGUCAAUCUGACACUUGCUAAUCAACCUUUGAUGAUAAUUGUAAUUCUUGCUGAGGACACUUCAUCCCAGGAGGUCAAAAGGACAUUUUGUACACUGAGAUGCACUCUGUGCUUGUGUGUGACUGAAUCCAUGGGCAUGUGUUUAUAUUUACAAGAGAUGUUUAUGCUAACACUUCUCUUUUUUGGGGGUAAAUUUUUUAUCAUUCUCCUUUCCCUCAUUUGCUGCUGUCUUUUUGCAUCUAUGAAAUGUUGCUCAUUGCUAAAUCAUCACCAGAAUUUCAAAGGGAGGGGUGAACUUGCUGCUCAAAACAGAGGGGAAAACGCAAGAAAAUUUUAAAGAUGCUUUAGUAAAAAACUUGGUAAAUAUUCAGCUCUUAAAAAAAAAAAAAAAAAAGAGAAGGGUUUUUGUGAAAUCAAUUGAUAACAUCUUCAUCUAAAUCAAUUUAUUAUCUCCUGUUUGAAAAGCACUUAGCUCAACAGGGCUUUGUGCCUUCACUGAGGUUUCCAGGUACCAUCAGAUCAAGAACCUUAAGUUAAGCACGGAUAAAACAUAACAAUGUUUGUUAUUUUCUCCCUCCAAAAAGAAAGCAAAUAACUUGAGGCAUCUGACACUGAUGGUGCAGACUAAGCCAAUUGGGAGGCUUUUCAUUUCAUAUUUUGGCACUGAAUUUUAUGCCUUUUUUUUUGAGUCCUUUUUGCCUUGACAUUCCACAGGUUUUGGAUGUGUUGGGCUAACCCCAGCCUAGAUCCCUGCGAAUAAUCAGAUUUUGGGCUUGCUGGAUUUGUCCUGUGGGUUCCCAGCAUUAGGAAUUCGACCAAAGGAUGGGUUUCUAUUUGUCUGUGCGUUUCUUUGGAGCACAGAGUGCUGUCCCAAGGACAGCGGCACGGAUCUGCUGCCAGGAGGCACAAAGAGCUGGGCAUAGGGGGCUGAGCUGCCGCAGGGCACUGCCCCUGCGUGCCCACUUUGAUUGCCCUGGGGUGCCAGCCUCGGAGCGAGCACGGAGGAAUAAUCUGCAGGAUAAUCCCUUCCUGCAGGAAUCUCAGCAUCACCUCAGUGGCUGGUACCCAGAGACUGCUCCUGGCUCAAGAACUGACCUCAAUCAGAGAGCAGGAAAGCAAAUUAUCUCCCUGCUUCCACAGUUUGCUCCCGAAGGACUCCAGAACCUUGCAUAAACAAAAACUAAUUAUAAUACACACACACACGGACAAAAAAUUUAGUAAAAAACUCAAAAGCUCUGCUCGUGGGCUGAACAAAAAAAGGGAGCUGGGAGAGUGAAUGUCACAGUGCCAUCUACUGACGCCAGCCCCGAGCCUGGAGGGAGAACACCCAACUGCAGGGGGAAAAAAAAAAUAUAAAUAAAUAAGGCUGGGAGUGUUGGAAGGAUUAUGUUUAAAGGAAGGAGAUGACUGCUAAUUAAUGUGACAAGAGAGAAAGCCUCACCUACUGACAGGUUAUUCAUCCCACAAGUGUUAGGAUCCUCCUCAGCGCUGCCUGCUCCUGUGAUUCCUGCAGAAAGGAACAGCUGACCAGAACCCUCAGUGCCAGCUCCCAUCUCUCUGUUUUGUCCUGAUGAGCUUUACACCAGAGGAGAAUUACAGCCUGCUCUGUGGCGAGCAAUUUGGAGGCAUAAAGGAAUGCAAUUGUGGAAUAAAACCCGCUCUGUGUGCUGUGAGAUAACUUCACCUGCCACAGAAAAUGAGCGGUGACUCGGAGGCAGGUCAGCAGAUUAGUGCCAUCAGCUCUGAAAGGUUCUCAGCCCUUCCUUUGGAUCAUCUAGCAGGCUCAAAAUGAACAUGUGGAGUGCAAGCAUGAUCUGCUUUGGGGGGAGCUGUCCUGAAAAGCAAAAGCAACGGAAAAAAUGAUUCUGAGCACUGGGUUUGAGGAUGGUGUUGGAGGAGGGAUGGUUCCAGAAGGGACCAUGGCUGUGGCUGUGCCUCCAUGGACAGCAGGGUCUGGAUGAGGGGCCCUGUGUGACAUUGAUCCCAAAAGUAACACACAGAGCGAGCCUUGGCUUGGAGGAGGGCCAGCGAGUGAAUCCCAGCUUGGUGCUCCUUUUCCUGCUCCCAUUCUCUUUUUCCUUGCUUUGCUCCCACUCUUGGUGCUCCUUUUCUUCCUCUCAUUCUCUUCUUCCUUGCUUUGCUCCCAUUAUCUCCUUCAUUUGUUUUGAAGUGAAUUCCAGCUUGGUGCUGCUUUUCCUGCUCCCAUUCUCUUUUUCCUUGCUUUGCUCCCAUUCUUGGUGCUCGUUUUCUUCCUCUCAUUUUCUUCUUCCUGGCUUUGCUGCCAUUCCCUCCUUCCCUUGUUUUUGAGUGAAUUCCAGCUUGGUGCUCCUUUUCUCGCUCCCAUUCUCUCCUUCUCACUGGCUUUGCAAGUGAAUUCCAGCUUGGUGCUCCUUCUCUUCCUCUCAUUCUCUUCUUGCUUUACUUCAUUUAAGGAUUUUAACGAGAGCCCAGACCUGUCUCAAGCAUUUUGCUUUUGCACAGCACCUGGGACAGGCUCCCACUGGAUGUCACAGCACCCUGCCAAGGGCUCUGCUCUCGUGUUUUUCCAGCUGACCCAGAGAUUUCAAACAGCAGUUUCGUUUUUCCUCUUUUAAUUUAAUUGGAGGAUGUAAAAAGAGGCUUUUGACUUUUACUGGUGGAACCUGAGGAGGACUGAAGCAGUUUAAACUCGACAGACCUCAAUGGUGCAGGGCACCCUUCUAAACUUUUGUUUGCCUCCAGUGAGCUGCUGAAGAGAGCAGGGAAACAAGGGAAGAAAAGGGAAAAAAAAGAAAAAAAAAGAAAAAAGGCAGCUUUCAGUUACUAAACCCCCUCGUGGCAUUGAAUUCUAACCAAGUACAUCCAGCCCUGCCAGCCAGAAAUGCCAAAAGGAGGAAAGCUGCUGAAUCAGAGGAGAAUCAGGAUUGGGAGGAUGGUGGGGAAUAUGAGAGUAGCGCUAGGCAAACAAAAUGGUGAGCGCGCCUUGGGCUACGUUUUCAGCGUGUUUUCUUGGGAGAUCAAAGCUUAAAUCCCAUUAACCCUUCACAUGUCAGCCUGGUCAGCCUUCAUUACCCUCCUGGCAAGUGGCUGAAUGAUGCUUUCUUGGCCAGCAGAGCCAUUUUGGAGCAAAUUAAGAUUUGUUGGGUGCUUGUUAAAGACCUUUUGGACAUCAGAAUCCCAGAAUGGUUUGUGUUGGGAAGGACCCCAAAGAUCCUCUCAUUCCAAAGAACCUCACCUUCCACUGGAGCUGCCAACAGAUUGAAAAGUUCCUGGGAUUAAAAGGCAUCCCAGCAACACCUUCCACUGGGAACAGAUUGAAAAGUUCCUGGGAUGACAAGGCCAUGGAGGUGGCUCGCAGAAAAUGUGACCUGGAUCCAAAUGGCCACUGAGAGCUGAGCCCCAAAGCUCCUCAGACAGCAAAAGAUGGAGAAAAAAGUCAAAUUUAACCUUCCACAGAUUGUCCUGACACAGGAAACAUUUCUAGGUUUAUCCUGAAACCAAAGCAUUUGUGAUGGGUAAAUUAUUUCAUUUCUCUCUGUGCUUUUUGCAACACUGGAUCCUUACUCCAACAAGGUAAAAAAUGUUAUCAUUUUUCCUCUAGUCACAUAAAAACCAUCUGAGACAGAAUUUCUUCUUCAGGCACCUUGAGAGCUCUCUGGAAGCCAGUACAAUUUUAUAUUUCCCUAUAAACGCCAAUUAGGUUGGACUCCAUAUGCUGAGAGAGACAUUUUGGCUUUCUGCUGCCUUGCCCAGCAGCCUGGCACUCGCUGAAAUAAAUCACAGCUCUUUUCGGAGCUGGACGUGGCCAGAGGUGGACGCAGAGGAGCUGAACACGAUGAUCUCAGAAGAAAUGCUCUGAAUUAAGCAGGAGGUUGCUAAGCCACCAGACUGCUGCAGUCUCCAACCAAAGUUACAGCGCUGAGUCCUUGCACAAAAUGGGGUUUUCCAAGGGAAACAAAAGUCUGCAAGGACACAACCUGAGCUGGGCAUGGCUGGAAAAACUCCUGAAGUCAUCCAGGAUUUCAUCUUGCAUCUCUUACAGCAAAACCAAAGAGCCUCCCUUGCCCCAAAAUCUGGAGCCUGAGACUGAAGUCUGCCUGAUUCCCUGAUUAUUUUUGUUUAUGUGGACAUUAAAAUAAAAAUAAUGUUUCAUUUCCCCCAUUUUUCAUUGUCUGCCCCAGUUUUCCCCCAAGGAAUGCUCAGCACAUAUCCCAGAUCAUCAUUCUGAGGGCUGAGACUGGAUGGGCUUUAAGAUCCCUUCCAACCCAAGCCAUUCUGGGAUUUUAGGAUCUUUCUAGAAAGUUUUUCCCACCUCUUCAGCAGGCAGAGAGGGUUAAUUUGGCCUUUCCCUGGACCUAGCAGGGCAGCACCUGCUAGCAGGGGUGGGGUGUUCCCUUGCACAGCUUGUCAGAGGCAAAUCAUUAUUAUUAUUAUUAUUAUUAUUAUUAUUAUUAUUAUUAUUAUU
This is a non-coding RNA of Zonotrichia albicollis (white-throated sparrow), 4925 nucleotides long. The record is from RefSeq and is a predicted model, not a curated record. NCBI's taxonomy places the organism in Eukaryota, Metazoa, Chordata, Aves, Passeriformes, Passerellidae.